This 505-nucleotide ribosomal RNA is filed under the name uncultured Pseudomonas sp. RNAcentral's name for it is "bacterial SSU rRNA". It matches the Rfam family "Bacterial small subunit ribosomal RNA", at positions 1 to 501 of the family's 1533-position model. Lineage: Bacteria; Pseudomonadati; Pseudomonadota; Gammaproteobacteria; Pseudomonadales; Pseudomonadaceae. The record is from RNAcentral.
UAGUUUAGAGUUUUGGACCUGGCUCAGAUUGAACGCUGGCGGCAGGCCUAACACAUGCAAGUCGAGCGGAUGAAAGGAGCUUGCUCCUGGAUUCAGCGGCGGACGGGUGAGUAAUGCCUAGGAAUCUGCCUGGUAGUGGGGGACAACGUUUCGAAAGGAACGCUAAUACCGCAUACGUCCUACGGGAGAAAGCAGGGGACCUUCGGGCCUUGCGCUAUCAGAUGAGCCUAGGUCGGAUUAGCUAGUUGGUGAGGUAAUGGCUCACCAAGGCGACGAUCCGUAACUGGUCUGAGAGGAUGAUCAGUCACACUGGAACUGAGACACGGUCCAGACUCCUACGGGAGGCAGCAGUGGGGAAUAUUGGACAAUGGGCGAAAGCCUGAUCCAGCCAUGCCGCGUGUGUGAAGAAGGUCUUCGGAUUGUAAAGCACUUUAAGUUGGGAGGAAGGGCAGUAAAUUAAUACUUUGCUGUUUUGACGUUACCGACAGAAUAAGCACCGGCUAAC